GACGAACGCUGGCGGCGUGCUUAACACAUGCAAGUCGAACGGAAAGGCCCUGCUUUUGUGGGGUGCUCGAGUGGCGAACGGGUGAGUAACACGUGAGUAACCUGCCCUUGACUUUGGGAUAACUUCAGGAAACUGGGGCUAAUACCGGAUAGGAGCUCCUGCUGCAUGGUGGGGGGUGGAAAGUUUCGGCGGUUGGGGAUGGACUCGCGGCUUAUCAGCUUGUUGGUGGGGUAGUGGCUUACCAAGGCUUUGACGGGUAGCCGGCCUGAGAGGGUGACCGGCCACAUUGGGCCUGCGAUACGGCCCGGCCUCCUACGGGAGGCAGCAGUGGGGAAUAUUGCACAAUGGGCGGAAGCCUGAUGCAGCAACGCCGCGUGCGGGAUGCCGGCCUUCGGGUUGUAAACCGCUUUCGCCUGUGACGAAGCGUGAGUGACGGUAAUGGGUAAAGAAGCACCGGCUAACUACGUG
RNAcentral lists this ribosomal RNA (468 nucleotides) under uncultured bacterium. Its description in RNAcentral is "partial 16S ribosomal RNA". It matches the Rfam family "Bacterial small subunit ribosomal RNA", at positions 28 to 507 of the family's 1533-position model. The record is from RNAcentral.